GACGAACGCUGGCGGUGUGCCUAACACAUGCAAGUCGAACGGUAAGGCCCUUUCGGGGGUACACGAGUGGCGAACGGGUGAGUAACACGUGAGUAACCUGCCCUCAUCUCUGGGAUAACAGUCGGAAACGGUUGCUAAUACUGGAUAUGAGCUUGCAAGGCAUCUUGUGGGUUGGAAAGAUUUUUUUGGUUGGGGAUGGACUCGCGGCCUAUCAGCUUGUUGGUGAGGUAGUGGCUCACCAAGGCUUCGACGGGUAGCCGGCCUGAGAGGGCGACCGGCCACAUUGGGACUGAGAUACGGCCCAAACUCCUACGGGAGGCAGCAGUGGGGAAUAUUGCACAAUGGACGGAAGUCUGAUGCAGCAACGCCGCGUGCGGGAUGACGGCCUUCGGGUUGUAAACCGCUUUCAAUUGUGACGAAGCUUUUUGUGACGGUAGCAGGAGAAGAAGCACCGGCUAACUACGUG
Molecule: ribosomal RNA, 466 nt
Filed under: uncultured bacterium
Lineage: Bacteria
Description: partial 16S ribosomal RNA
Rfam family: Bacterial small subunit ribosomal RNA
Source: RNAcentral